Molecule: ribosomal RNA, 879 nt
Filed under: Streptomyces sp. INBio2855B
Lineage: Bacteria; Bacillati; Actinomycetota; Actinomycetes; Kitasatosporales; Streptomycetaceae
Description: bacterial SSU rRNA
Rfam family: Bacterial small subunit ribosomal RNA
Source: RNAcentral
GCUCAGGACGAACGCUGGCGGCGUGCUUAACACAUGCAAGUCGAACGAUGAACCGCGUUUCGGGCGGGGAUUAGUGGCGAACGGGUGAGUAACACGUGGGCAAUCUGCCCUGCACUCUGGGACAAGCCCUGGAAACGGGGUCUAAUACCGGAUAUGACUGUCCAUCGCAUGGUGGAUGGUGUAAAGCUCCGGCGGUGCAGGAUGAGCCCGCGGCCUAUCAGCUUGUUGGUGAGGUAGUGGCUCACCAAGGCGACGACGGGUAGCCGGCCUGAGAGGGCGACCGGCCACACUGGGACUGAGACACGGCCCAGACUCCUACGGGAGGCAGCAGUGGGGAAUAUUGCACAAUGGGCGAAAGCCUGAUGCAGCGACGCCGCGUGAGGGAUGACGGCCUUCGGGUUGUAAACCUCUUUCAGCAGGGAAGAAGCGAAAGUGACGGUACCUGCAGAAGAAGCGCCGGCUAACUACGUGCCAGCAGCCGCGGUAAUACGUAGGGCGCAAGCGUUGUCCGGAAUUAUUGGGCGUAAAGAGCUCGUAGGCGGCUUGUCACGUCGGUUGUGAAAGCCCGGGGCUUAACCCCGGGUCUGCAGUCGAUACGGGCAGGCUAGAGUUCGGUAGGGGAGAUCGGAAUUCCUGGUGUAGCGGUGAAAUGCGCAGAUAUCAGGAGGAACACCGGUGGCGAAGGCGGAUCUCUGGGCCGAUACUGACGCUGAGGAGCGAAAGCGUGGGGAGCGAACAGGAUUAGAUACCCUGGUAGUCCACGCCGUAAACGGUGGGCACUAGGUGUGGGCAACAUUCCACGUUGUCCGUGCCGCAGCUAACGCAUUAAGUGCCCCGCCUGGGGAGUACGGCCGCAAGGCUAAAACUCAAAGGAAUUGA